Molecule: ribosomal RNA, 902 nt
Filed under: uncultured Campylobacterota bacterium
Lineage: Bacteria; Pseudomonadati; Campylobacterota
Description: bacterial SSU rRNA
Rfam family: Bacterial small subunit ribosomal RNA
Source: RNAcentral
ACCUACGGGAGGCAGCAGUGGGGAAUAUUGCACAAUGGAGGAAACUCUGAUGCAGCAACGCCGCGUGGAGGAUGACACAUUUCGGUGCGUAAACUCCUUUUAUAUGGGAAGAUAAUGACGGUACCAUAUGAAUAAGCACCGGCUAACUCCGUGCCAGCAGCCGCGGUAAUACGGAGGGUGCAAGCGUUACUCGGAAUCACUGGGCGUAAAGCGCGCGCAGGCGGCUAUUUAAGUUGGAUGUGAAAGCCUACGGCUCAACCGUAGAACUGCAUCCAAAACUAUUUAGCUAGAGUGUGGGAGAGGAAGAUGGAAUUAGUUGUGUAGGGGUAAAAUCCGUAGAGAUAACUAGGAAUACCAAAAGCGAAGGCAAUCUUCUGGAACAUUACUGACGCUGAGGCGCGAAAGCGUGGGGAGCAAACAGGAUUAGAUACCCUGGUAGUCCACGCCCUAAACGAUGAAUGUUAGUCGUCGGGUAGCUAGUCUAUUCGGUGAUGCAGCUAACGCAUUAAACAUUCCGCCUGGGGAGUACGGUCGCAAGAUUAAAACUCAAAGGAAUAGACGGGGACCCGCACAAGUGGUGGAGCAUGUGGUUUAAUUCGAAGAUACGCGAAGAACCUUACCUAGCCUUGACAUAUUUUAGAACUCUUUAGAGAUAGAGAGGUGCCUUCGGGAGCUAAUAUACAGGUGCUGCACGGCUGUCGUCAGCUCGUGUCGUGAGAUGUUGGGUUAAGUCCCGCAACGAGCGCAACCCUCGUCACUAGUUACUAACGGUUCGGCCGAGGACUCUAGUGAGACUGCCUUCGUAAGGAGGAGGAAGGUGAGGACGACGUCAAGUCAUCAUGGCCCUUACGGCUAGGGCAACACACGUGCUACAAUGGCCAGGACAGUGAGACGCGAUACCG